Molecule: long non-coding RNA, 363 nt
Organism: Aedes aegypti (yellow fever mosquito)
Lineage: Eukaryota; Metazoa; Arthropoda; Insecta; Diptera; Culicidae
Exons: 2
Source: RefSeq, a predicted model, not a curated record
AGAAGCCGGUAUCCCGAAAAGCCCGUAUCCAGAUUGCAGGAAAUCUUUCGACCUCCAGCGGCUUUAGAAGAGUUCACAACGUAAGUCACUCUGGCUCAAAACAACCGGCCGUUUUCAUCGAACCAAGAGCGGUCUUCCCAUCAGACGGUCAAGGAUGGUCGUCAUCCGGAUGAAAAGACUUAUCCACCUCUAAAUAGCUUCAUCCCAAGAUGCUGACGAUGGUAGCUGCUAAAUGCUGUUACGGCUCAUUACCGUUCACAAGAAGGAAACCGACAAAUUGUGCCUAGAGCGAAGGAAAAGGAAGUCUGCACCAAGAGAUUCGUUUUAUGUUUAAUAAUGUGCUGAAACUAAACGUAGUGAAUA